AGAACGAACGCUGGCGGCAUGCCUAAUACAUGCAAGUCGAACGAACACUUCGGUGUUAGUGGCGCACGGGUGCGUAACGCGUGGGAAUCUGCCCUUGGGUUCGGAAUAACAGUUGGAAACGACUGCUAAUACCGGAUGAUGACGAAAGUCCAAAGAUUUAUCGCCCAGGGAUGAGCCCGCGUAGGAUUAGCUAGUUGGUGAGGUAAAGGCUCACCAAGGCGACGAUCCUUAGCUGGUCUGAGAGGAUGAUCAGCCACACUGGGACUGAGACACGGCCCAGACUCCUACGGGAGCAGCAGUAGGGAAUUUGGACAAUGGGACGAAAGCCUGAUCCAGCAAUGCCGCGUGCAGGAAGAAGGCCUU
RNAcentral lists this ribosomal RNA (363 nucleotides) under uncultured soil bacterium. Its description in RNAcentral is "bacterial SSU rRNA". It matches the Rfam family "Bacterial small subunit ribosomal RNA", at positions 26 to 418 of the family's 1533-position model. The record is from RNAcentral.